AGCUGAGUUACUGCCAGUGCAGACACGCUCUCUGAUGUCCUGUCCUGCGGGGUGGAGGGACCUGACCCAGAAUCACACCAGCCCUGUACCACAGCUGCUCUGUGCUGCAAAAGGGUUGAUGGCCAAAGCAGCAGACAGUUCCUCUGCUCAGAUCUUGCAGCUUCCUGAAAUGCAGCUUAAUAUUAAAUCUUAAAUCUUAAUAUUAAAUCUCUCCCAGGAAAGCUGCACAUUGAAGCACCCUCCGCACAACGCUGACUGGGAGAUGCCGAGUCCUGUCUCCCCGCACACACACAGGCAGCGCUCAGAACCACGCCAGCGCCGAGCAGAGCUGUUCCAUCCGUCAGCCCCAUGUAUUUAUUUUCAUCUGUCAAAAACCAUAUCCGAGCCUGAAGGCUCCCAGGAAGAUCCUGGAAUCCGGAUCCAGGGUGUGAUCAGAAGGAGUAGAACUCACAGUGGAUGUUACCCUGAAAACUGGUAUCAGGAGCCCUGUGGUCAUUCAGAGACCUGACAUCUUCGAGCAGCUUGCAAAGGAGCAACCUACUCGGCUACGCUCUCCAGCCUGCUGUACCAGACAACCUGCCAGUGCCUGCUCCAACAGUGAUGGAGGAAAGUCAGAGGGAGAUGGUAUCAGAGGAGGAAAAGGAAGAGGCCUGAGACUGUUCAUAAGAAGAUGCAUACCCAGGGGUAAAUUGACAGCUGCCUGCUAUCAAAUACCGAUCUGUGACUUUCCAGUAACAUAAAAAUCCACCUGGGUUGGAUGAGAGACGAAAAUCCUUUCAGCAGGUAGCAGAGUGCAAAGGGAUGUUGCCAGUUCAGAUGUGAACCUGUGACCCAAAGCUCGCAAGAUAUUAUUUCUCAGAUGAAUCACACAGAGGGAGGCUUAGGACAGGCGUCGCAUGCCUGGCCUGGAUUAGCUCUGGUACAAGGAUGCCUGUUUCUCUGUAUUACGGUGUUUCACUUUCUAGAAGCCGAGGAGGCCGUGGCUCAGUCAGCCAUGCUAUCAUGCCCUUUCUAGAGACACAUCGGAACUGGGCUUGCGGUCAUUCUGGCAGUGUUGGUGGCUUGAGUUAAAUCUGCCUCUUUAUUAAGGUGGCAUUUGCCUAAACAUCCUCCAGAGUUCUGCCACCCCUGUCUGCAUGGGCGGUCUCUUAGCAUUUCUUAAUUUUUGCUAACAAAGAUUUUUGUUUGAGGAUGUCCGCGUUUGGUUGGAGAAGUGGAUGGGUGGGCAGGAGAGGGCUGUCACCCACCCACCAAAGUGGAUAGGAGGCAUUUAGGGGAGCUUCUGCUGCGUCUGUGUUAAUGCUGCUUAUGCCUGAUAAAGCUUUUAGCUGUGAAAUGUCACAUUUCUCAAAGCCCAAUCAGCCAGUCAUGCUCUAGGCUUUAACAGCUGUAACUCUAAUUGGACCAUGAAAAUUAAUUGAUCCGCAGCACAAAAACACAAGACAGCAAAAAAAAAAAAAAAAAAAAAAAAAGAAAGAAAGAAAACAGACCAACCCUAACUGAGUUUG
Molecule: long non-coding RNA, 1508 nt
Filed under: Anser cygnoides (Swan goose)
Lineage: Eukaryota; Metazoa; Chordata; Aves; Anseriformes; Anatidae
Description: lncRNA (ENSACDG00005017744.1)
Source: RNAcentral